UACACACCGCCCGUCACACCAUGGGAGUUGGCCACGCCGGAAGUCGUUACUCUAACCGUUCGCGGAGGAGGGCGCCUAAGGCAGGGCUGAUGACUGGGGUGAAGUCGUAACAAGGUAGCCGUACCGGAAGGUGUGGCUGGAUCACCUCCUUUUAGGGAGACCUUACCCCUUCUUUUUGAAAGUCCUAGGACAGUAAAGUAAAAAAGGAGCAGGUCAUCUCAAGGUCGGUCAGGAAUAUAGUGUUGGUUUCCAAACUGUCUGGUCUGGUUAUUCAACCAGCAUGGGCUAUUAGCUCAGGUGGUUAGAGCGCACCCCUGAUAAGGGUGAGGUCCCUGGUUCGAGUCCAGGAUGGCCCACCUUACAAUCUGUAUAUUUAAAAAAGCAGAUUGUUUUGUAAGGGGGUUUAGCUCAGUUGGUAGAGCGCCUGCUUUGCAAGCAGGAUGUCAGCGGUUCGAGUCCGCUAACCUCCACUGAGUGAUUUAGUCACUCUAAAAGUGUUAACAAUUUAGCAACUUCGUUGUUGACAGAUCUAAUCUGUUUAGCAAUCAGUCUGCUGGAUUUGUUAUCCAGUCAGAACUUAGAAAACUGCAUAGAGAAAGAGUCAGGUAGAAAGAAUUACUUUAUGCGAUCAGCACGAGUAAUUCCUUCAUAGACACCAAUGAUUAGUAAU
Molecule: ribosomal RNA, 670 nt
Filed under: Alkalinema pantanalense RMFY20
Lineage: Bacteria; Bacillati; Cyanobacteriota; Cyanophyceae; Leptolyngbyales; Leptolyngbyaceae
Description: partial 16S ribosomal RNA
Rfam family: Bacterial small subunit ribosomal RNA (bases 1-152)
Source: RNAcentral